UCGGACAUGGUGUACGGUACACCGCCUCUCUCAAUAAGAAGUUAAGGUACAUUUGACGAGGCUGCUGGGGUUCGACUCCCCGUGUCCGAC
Non-coding RNA from Mycena leptocephala, 90 nucleotides. The record is from the annotation of a GenBank genome assembly. Lineage: Eukaryota; Fungi; Basidiomycota; Agaricomycetes; Agaricales; Mycenaceae.